RNAcentral lists this ribosomal RNA (30 nucleotides) under Trichoglossum octopartitum. RNAcentral's name for it is "partial 18S ribosomal RNA". Lineage: Eukaryota; Fungi; Ascomycota; Geoglossomycetes; Geoglossales; Geoglossaceae. The record is from RNAcentral.
UCCGUAGGUGAACCUGCGGAAGGAUCAGCG